This 253-nucleotide ribosomal RNA is filed under the name uncultured bacterium. Its description in RNAcentral is "partial 16S ribosomal RNA". It matches the Rfam family "Bacterial small subunit ribosomal RNA", at positions 524 to 776 of the family's 1533-position model. The record is from RNAcentral.
UACGGGGGGGGCAAGCGUUGUUCGGAAUUACUGGGCGUAAAGGGCUCGUAGGCGGCCAACUAAGUCAGACGUGAAAUCCCUCGGCUUAACCGGGGAACUGCGUCUGAUACUGGAUGGCUUGAGUUCGGGAGAGGGAUGUGGAAUUCCAGGUGUAGCGGUGAAAUGCGUAGAUAUCUGGAGGAAUACCGGUGGCGAAGGCGGCAUCCUGGACCAUUACUGACGCUGAGGCGCGAAAGCUAGGGGAGCAAACGGG